GAUGAAGAACGUAGCGAAAUGCGAUAAGUAAUGCGAAUUGCAGAAUUCCGUGAGUCAUCGAAUCUUUGAACGCACAUUGCGCCCUCUUGUAUUCCGGAGGGCAUGCCUGUCUGAGCGUCAUUGUCAACCCUCAAGCUCAGCUUGCUGUUGGGUCCCCGUCGUUGCUUUAACGGCGGACCCGAAAGGUAAUGGCAGAGUCCGUGAGACCCUAGACGCAGCGAGCUUCUAGCACGCGUCUGGACGUUUUUCGGGCUCGGUCUUAACUAGAUGAUAACUUCCGAUUGACCUCAGAUCAGGUAGGGAUACCCGCUGAACUUAAGCAUAUCAAUAAGCGGAGGA
This 339-nucleotide unclassified non-coding RNA is filed under the name soil metagenome. Its description in RNAcentral is "partial contains 5.8S ribosomal RNA, internal transcribed spacer 2, and large subunit ribosomal RNA". The stretch from base 1 to 120 matches the Rfam family "5.8S ribosomal RNA", at positions 35 to 154 of the family's 154-position model. The record is from RNAcentral.